Molecule: unclassified non-coding RNA, 5355 nt
Filed under: Chelonus insularis
Lineage: Eukaryota; Metazoa; Arthropoda; Insecta; Hymenoptera; Braconidae
Description: a disintegrin and metalloproteinase with thrombospondin motifs 7, transcript variant X4
Source: RNAcentral
CGCGCGGCCACUAGUGUUGUGACAGCGAUCGUGCCCACGACUUCGAUACUUUACUUCGCGACUUUAUUUUUCUGUCGUUCACCAUAUAGCUCUCAAAGCAUCGGAUACAGUACGCAUGAAAUCCUUAUAUGACCUGGUAAAAUAUAAAUUAUAGUUCAUGUUUCUGCAUCACAUAUAUGAACGAGUAGUAUUAUCACAACUGGGUUCAUUAAUAAUCGGUGAUAUUCUUGAUAAGUGACCUGUCAAAACUAUAAACCAGUGAAUUGCAUUUUAUUCUUUUUUCACCGACCAAACAGUGGAAUAAUUCAACAAUUUAAAACGUUUAUCAAAAAGAAACGUAGAAGCAAAAAAAAACAACCGGUUAACAUUAUAAUGGGUAGAUUUCAACGACGAUAUCGGCUAUUGCAGCGGUCAAGACAUCAAAAUAAUUGAUUAAUGAAUAUUUGAAAAAAUACAAUGCACCGGUGGAUUAUUCUGCAAGUUUCGUUGCUUAUUUUCGUUCAUGUCAGUGCUGUUACUGAUGAUUCGUCUAAACCGCUGUGGAUUAAAGGCAUCUACAGCGGUAAAAAACAUGUGACAGAUGGCCACGAGAUCGUAGUACCACGCAAAGUAACACAUAAUGGCGAUUUAAUCAGUCAUGACGUAACACACCACCAUGUUGACGAUAAAACUGAAUUGCACUAUCGUUUGGAGAUGGCUGGAUCACAAUAUCACUUUCAGCUGACACCAUCCGAAGAUUUUAUCGCACCAGGAAUGGUUGUGGAAAGACGAAAGCGCAGAAUUCACGUACGCCAUCAACCCAGAGAACACGCGAGUAAAUGUCAUUAUCGGGGAUUCAUUAGAGGUCACCGAAAUUCCUUUGUAGCAUUAUCGACUUGCAAUGGUCUGACGGGUGUACUUCGAGGAGAACAUGGCGAGUUCUGGCUGGAACCAGUCAAGAACGAGCCAGGAGAAGGAAAUGGUGCACGUACUGGGAAAGAAGUUGACUCUGAACGGUAUGCGUAUGCAACGAAUGCGAGUGUGGCGUCUGGUAGACCUCACCUUGUUUUCCGACGUUCGACUGCUGUGGAGGUUGGCGCCGGACAGCGAAGACGUCGAAAGAAGAAGAAAUACGAGCGAAACUGUGGAACACGUGACCCUCGGAGGUUGACUGAGACGCGUUUGGAAUGGCAGACUCAGCCUGGUCUUGUGCAAGUUCAAGGUCGUGGACGUAGGAAGCAUGGAUGGCAGAGGUCAAAGAGAUCCAUUAGUCGUCCUAGACACGUCGAGGCACUUGUAGUUGCUGAUACCUCUAUGAUGGCUUUCCAUCAGGAUGGUGAUGUCGAGACAUAUCUACUUACGAUUAUGAAUAUGGUGUCUGCACUUUACCAUGACCCAACUAUCGGAAACUUCAUUAAUGUCGUCGUUGUCCGCAUCAUUCUUAUGGAGGAGGAUGACGCUGAGCAAGGACUCAAUAUCACUGUGAAUGCCGACAAGACACUUUACAACUUUUGCAAGUGGCAAUUAAAGUUGAAUCCUACUGAUGAUUCUCAUCCCAAUCAUCAUGACGUUGCAAUAUUGGUGACACGUGAAGACAUAUGUUCAAGAGCAAAUACCCCUUGCAGUACUCUAGGAGUGGCUCAUGUGGCUGGUAUGUGCCAGCCUGAUAAAAGCUGCAGCGUCAACGAGGACAAUGGCAUCACCUUGGCACAUACUAUAACUCAUGAGCUUGGCCACAACUUUGGCAUGUAUCACGACACGGAAAAAAUAGGUUGCAGCAAACGAGAUGGUGAUACAUUACACGUAAUGACGCCGACUUUUGAGGUGGAUACAGUGGGUGUGGCUUGGUCUCGAUGUUCACGCAGAGACAUUACAAAUUUCCUUGACCAAGGAAAGGGAGAAUGUUUGGAAGACGAACCAGCAGAUAAUGAUUACGCGUAUCCGGAUCUACCUCCUGGAGCGAUGUACAAUGCUGAGCACCAAUGUCGACUACAAUUCGGGAUAAGAGAAGCUUCUGUUUGUUCACCGUUGCAAGAAAUUUGCUCUAAACUCUGGUGUAUUGUUGAUGGAUCAUGUAUUACUAUGCUACAUCCGGCAGCCCCAGGAACACAUUGCGGUAAACAUAUGUGGUGUCAAAAUCAGAAAUGUGUACCAAUAGUCGAUCGUCCGAGCCAGAUUGACGGUGGAUGGGGUAAGUGGGGUAAUUGGACAGAAUGUUCGAGAACUUGUGGUGCGGGAGUGUCGAUAAUGGAACGGAAGUGUGACCAUCCAAGGCCAGCACACGGCGGAAAGUUUUGCAUCGGUGAGAGACGACGAUACAAGAUUUGCAACACUGAUCCAUGUCCUGAAGGUGUACCAAGUUUCCGGAGUAUCCAAUGUAGUAAAUAUGAUAAUACAGAAUACAAGGGAAAAAAUUAUACCUGGUUACCAUAUUUUGACCAAAAUGAACCUUGCAAAUUGUACUGCACUGACACUAACGAGAGUGUCAUAGUUCCCUGGGGUGAAGCAGCUUUGGAUGGUACACCUUGCAACGUUGGUACGCGUGAUAUGUGUAUCGCUGGAAUAUGUAGAAAAGUUGGCUGUGACUGGACUGUUGAUUCUGAAGCUACGGAGGAUCGUUGCGGUAUUUGCCAUGGUGAUGGAACACAAUGUGAGACAACGAGCGGAAUUUAUGACAAAAAUGAAGGACCUGGUUAUCGUGAAGUCGUCGUCAUUCCUGCGGGUGCAAGAAAUAUCAAAAUCGAGGAGCUUGGCAACAGCAAAAAUUACAUUGGCAUUGGGCUAAGGAAUUCCAACAAAUACUUCCUUAAUGGAAAACGGUGCGUGCGGUGUUUUGGAAGACACCUUGGGAUUAGUAUAAUGGAUCACACAUUGGAGACUAAUGUUUCCGUUUCGUUGGACAGGCAGAUCACUUUAGCGGGAGAGUAUGAAGUCGCGGGAACGCCUGCAUUGUACGAACGUGAUCAUGAAAAAGAAAAGGUCAGGAUUCCGGGGCCUAUAAAGGAGGAUAUUGUUGUUUAUUUGAUCUAUCGAGGACAUUAUCGCAACUUAGGACUUCAUUAUGAGUACACGAUACCUAAAAGUGAACCAGACCGUGCUCCAGAAUACUUUUGGAUUCUUUCUGAUUGGUCAAUAUGUACAGCAACUUGUGGAGGAGGUACACAAACAUCGUAUGCUGUUUGUCAUGAAAGAAAAAAUGGUAUUGUAGAAGAGAGAUUUUGUGAUGAAAAAACGAAGCCUGAAUUUGUAUUACGUGAAUGCAACAAGAAUCCUUGCCCAGCUAGGUGGUGGGUUGGACCAUGGCAAAUGUGUCCAGUUAUUUGUGGUGAGGGUGUGCGAAAGCGAUCAGUGAUGUGUGUAUCAUCAGCAAAAGAUCCAGAUGGAUCAGAACUUGCUUUACCUGAUCGAGAAUGUGAUAAGAAUGCAAAGCCAGCUGAGGUUGGACCUUGUAUAGACCUCCCACCAUGUGGACCAACUUCCGAAAUUCCUUUAAUUAUAUACACUGAUAACAAGGUCGCCGCUUUCUAUAAUAUCAGUACUAAUGAUCAAUCCAAUCUGAUCACUGUGGAUGGCAACUCUACUGAAGAACCAGAGAUUCUGGAAUUUGAUAAUGUGGUUGAUGAAAAUCCUAAUAAUUCUGUGUAUAAUACCAAGUCAAAGUGGCUUGUAUCAAAAUGGAGCCACUGUAUACAUGGAAAAAGAAUAAGGAAGGUUUCAUGUUCAUCUGCUGGUGAUUGUAAUUUAAAAAACAAGCCCGCUUCGUCAGAAGAAUGUCGAGGAGAGAAGUGGGUCACUGGUAAAUGGGGACCUUGCAAUGCAACUUGUGCUUCAAAGUCGGGUGUGAAAAAAAGAGAAGUGAUUUGUAAAGACAGAUUGACGAAUAAAGAGUCUGGAAACUGCAUUCUUCACCGACGACCUCUUGAUACCAGACGGUGUUUUUAUCGUCGUCAGUGUACGGAGGAAAAACCCGGUUGCAAAGAUAUUAUCAAGCCCGUGAGUUUAUGUAUAUCUUACAAACGUAUGUGUGACUUAUCAUCAAUUGUGCGAGAAAAAUGCUGCGCCACAUGCUUUAAAAGGCGGCGUCAUGUUCGACACAAUCGGCGACAUAAUUUUGGCGACUAACAAUAGAGCAUUGACGUCAAAUUGAUAUUAUCGAAACAUGGAAAUGUUGAAUGUGAUGGAUAAAAGAUAUGCCCUAAGGGUGCUGAAUAUCACCAACAAAAUGCGUUGAAUAAUAUUGUAAACAUUCAAUAGUCAACACUUUAGUAUAUGAAUUGGCUCAAUAUUCUGAUAAUAUCUGUCCAUUAAUUUCGAGUAUCUUGUUUGGAAAAUACACAAAUCAACGAGCAGUUAAUUUUGCCAUGCUUAAAACAAUGUUCGAAAGUUCUAAUAGUUCAUCUACCUAGAAAAUAUCGAUUAUCCAAUUAUUCAAUCAAAUUUACAUAAGAAAUAACACAUAUUAGCUCAAACUAUUACUUAUUUGAUCAUUUGUAUUGAAAAAAAUUUUUAAUAAUUAUAUUCCUUUUCUAAAAAAUGUAUCGAUAUCUAAUAUCUGCUAGACAACAGUAUUCAUUCAGAAUCUAAUCUUUGUAUAAUUAAUGUCAAAUUAAAUAUAACUUUAAAAUAUGUAAGAUACACAAUAUUGUAACAAAUUACUGACAACAAUGUAUUUUGCAUACGGAAUGACCUUCGACUCGAUAAAAACUCUUAACGUACAAAUAAUGCAUCAAAAGCGAAUAAGUAAGUAAUGACUAUCAUAUCGAACUAAUGCUUUCAUAUUAAGCAAUUUCUAACAUGGCUAUUCUAUUUAGAAUUUUUAUUGAGCCAUCAUGGCUUGUUCAUUAAUGAUGUAAUCUAAUUUUGGCACCUGUGCCAAACUCAAUUUCUUCUGAGCUGAUCAGUAAAAUCAAGGGUCAUUCGAUAAUGUUAAAACGAAGAAAAUUUACAGUAACGUAUUAUUACGUCAUCAACUACGUCUGCAGUAAACACUUGCCAACUAUGUUGAAAACCAUUUUCUCAAUUUAUAAAUGCGUAAAUAGCUCGAUAAAAAUUUUCUAGCUGUUGUCUACUGCGACUCAAAAUUAACUUAGCUAAUAAAUAGUUAUAGUCAUUAUUUAACCAACAUCACAGCCAUAAUUGUUAAAAUAAUAUACAUGAUAUUUUUUAUACAUUAUUUUUUCUACUCAAUUUACUAUUAAAACAAUUUAAUGAAAGAUAUGGCGUAAGAAAAUAACAGUGAUAAAAUUGUGAUUUCAUUCUCAUCCAAAUUUACUGUAUCGUUACAGUAGCAGGCAUAGCGAUUGAGAUAAUCCAAAUGCAUCGUCUCGCUUGUUCUGCCAGUCAGUUACAUUUAAACUUCAGAGCAUAAGACAUCAU